AAAAUUAUGUAACCACAAAAAUGAAUACCAACUUUUUUAAAAUAUGAGAGCUAUACACAAUUUUGUCUUUAAAUAUCUUAUUUAAGCAUUUCUCAAUAAUUUAUUAAUUAGGAUUACUUAAAAUAUACAUUAAACCUUCCCUUUGAUAUAAAUAACAUAAAAUUAAAAUACUGACAGUAACGAAACGAAUAAAAAAGGCCUACUGGUAUAUAAUCCACCAAUUUAAUAACUAGUGGACAGACCAAAAAGAUAUAAUAUUGAAAACAACCAAAUAAAUUACAAGAAAUAAAUAGUCUAGUUUUUUAACAACGUUCGAAAACAUUAUAGAGCCGCGGUAAACUCGUGAUCUGAUAUAUGCACUUCUCUUCAAAUACUUUUUUUGGGCAAAUUACCCUUCGGCGAAAUUCAGGAAACAAAUAAUCUUCUAAGCAUGACUCCAAGGAUCUGAUGCUCUUCACAUCACUUUCUUCAUAAGAAAGAGGGAGAGGGACAUAAAAUUUUGCAAUUGCUUUCAUGAUUCCAUUUAAACAUGACUUCUCAUCUAACCAAUCAAAAAACUUAGGAGUCAAACUACUAAUUAACAAAGGAAGUUGCUCAAAAGGUGGAUGAUAUUUAGGACUUAACAUCGGUACAGCUGUCAAUAAUCCACCUGACGUGACACUUAUAGAAAAGUAGUCCUUUAACAUAUCUCGUCGGGAAACUAAUAAACGUGUAAAUUUUUCACUUUCAGAUUUGUCUUCAUCACCAUUGACUAUUUCAAAUAAAUCGGAAAUUGACAAAGGUGUUUCGAGUACAAAUUCGCCGUAAUUUCCAAAUUCAGUGAGACAAAUCUGAUAAAACAGAUGAUAUGAAAGCUUUCCGUAGUCGACCACAUAUAAACCUAUGUUAUGCUGAACCGCCGCAAUUCUUCUUGUAGGACAAACUAAACCUACAUACUUAUGCUCCGUAAGAAUAUUAGUCGCCAGGACAUGCAUUGAAUUUAUAACUUGCUUUUGUAAAGACUUGAUGCUUUCCAAAUCAAUAGAAUUCCCUUCUUCAACAAUUUCUUCAGUUUGAAGAUCUUUUAUGUCAUUUGUUGCAUUUUUAUUCGAGUUGGCCGAAUCAACUUUUUCAAUUAUUUCAUUGUCAUAAUUAUUUGAUGAUCGCUGCAAAAAGUUAUCUGAAAGCAUACUUUUAAUACUUCUUUCACGCGGAUCUGUACGAACCAAAUAAUUUUCAUAGGUUCGCACUGCUUUUUGACUAGAGCUUUCAGCGUUUUUGGUAUUAGAGAUGCUAGGAAUCAUUGCUUGCAAAGGAUACGACCUUUCAGUGUCCGUCCGUUCCAAAAUUUCACCUAGUUUAUCACAGAUAGAAGUUGCAAUCUCUUGGUCAUACAAAAAAUGAACAAUCCUCUUCGAAGGAUGGACAUUAACAUCCAAUUGCUCAGGACUCAUAUUUAACGAUAAGUAAACAAAGUAAGAUGCUCCUUUAUGAAGGUAUUUAGCAUAAGUCUCCUCAAGAGCGUGUCGCAGUUCAACCGAUUCCACUAAUCGAUUAUUAAUAAAUAAAAUUAAAUUGCUUUUUUUAUCUUGAAAGUCUGCAUUGCUAAUAAAACCAUUGGCCGAAAAUCCAACAAUAGACGAUUGUCCUUCUCCUAAAGAAAAAUCUCUCAAAUGACUAGCCACUCUUGGUCCAUAAAUAUGUCUAAUUUUAUCCGCUUUGGAAAGCCUAGAGCUUAAAGAUAAAGAGGCAACGGUGUCACCAACCUUCUUACAGUUGAAUGAAACUUGGUCAUUAUGAAUUGCAUAUUUUUGAACCAAGAUCAUUAUGCGACGAAAUUCCUCUGACCCAUUUUUUAAAGCUGAUUUGCGACUACGUACAUUGUAAAAUAAAUCUUCAGCCGUUAUUACAGUCCCUUGCUUCCCAGCACAAGGUUGGGGAGCAGGACUCAUUCCAGGGCUAAU
RNAcentral lists this long non-coding RNA (1943 nucleotides) under Schizosaccharomyces pombe (fission yeast). The record is from RNAcentral. Lineage: Eukaryota; Fungi; Ascomycota; Schizosaccharomycetes; Schizosaccharomycetales; Schizosaccharomycetaceae.